AGCUUAGAUAGUGGGAUGAAAUUCUUUCCGUGUGAAGGUGGUGAGGUACUGGCAGAGGCUGCCCAGAGCAGCUGUGGCUGCCCCAUCCCUGGCGUG
Sturnus vulgaris (Common starling) is the source of this 96-nucleotide non-coding RNA. Lineage: Eukaryota; Metazoa; Chordata; Aves; Passeriformes; Sturnidae. The record is from RefSeq and is a predicted model, not a curated record.